CCAGACUCCUACGGGAGGCAGCAGUGAGGAAUAUUGGUCAAUGGGCGGAAGCCUGAACCAGCCAAGUCGCGUGAGGGAUUAAGGCCCUAUGGGUCGUAAACCUCUUUCGUCAGGGAGCAAUGGCGUCCACGUGUGGGCGUAUGGAGAGUACCUGAAGAAAAAGCAUCGGCUAACUCCGUGCCAGCAGCCGCGGUAAUACGGAGGAUGCGAGCGUUAUCCGGAUUUAUUGGGUUUAAAGGGUGCGUAGGCGGAAUGCCAAGUCAGCGGUAAAAUCGGGGGGCUCAACCUCGCUCCGCCGUUGAAACUGGGGAUCUAGAGUGUGCGAGAGGUAUGCGGAAUGCGUGGUGUAGCGGUGAAAUGCAUAGAUAUCACGCAGAACCCCGAUUGCGAAGGCAGCAUACCGGUGCACAACUGACGCUCAGGCACAAAAGCGUGGGUAUCGAACAGGAUUAGAUACCCGCGUA
Molecule: ribosomal RNA, 464 nt
Filed under: uncultured bacterium
Lineage: Bacteria
Description: bacterial SSU rRNA
Rfam family: Bacterial small subunit ribosomal RNA
Source: RNAcentral